AACGAACGCUGGCGGCAGGCCUAACACAUGCAAGUCGAGCGCCCCGCAAGGGGAGCGGCGGACGGGUGAGUAACACGUGGGAAUUUUCCUCAAGGUACGGAACAACUCAGGGAAACUUGGGCUAAUACCGUAUGAUGCAGAGAUGCCAAAGAUUUAUCGCCUUGGGAUAAGCCCGCGUCAGAUUAGGUAGUUGGUGGGGUAAUGGCCUACCAAGCCUGUGAUCUGUAGCUGGUCUGAGAGGACGAUCAGCCACAUUGGGACUGAGACACGGCCCAAACUCCUACGGGAGGCAGCAGUGGGGAAUCUUGCGCAAUGGGCGAAAGCCUGACGCAGCCAUGCCGCGUGAAUGAUGAAGGUCUUAGGAUUGUAAAGUUCUUUAGCCUGUGACGAUGAUGACGGUAACAGGAGAAUAAGCCCCGGCUAACUUCGUGCCAGCAGCCGCGGUAAGGUGACGCUCU
This 458-nucleotide ribosomal RNA is filed under the name uncultured bacterium. RNAcentral's name for it is "bacterial SSU rRNA". It matches the Rfam family "Bacterial small subunit ribosomal RNA", at positions 29 to 536 of the family's 1533-position model. The record is from RNAcentral.